This 328-nucleotide ribosomal RNA is filed under the name uncultured eukaryote. RNAcentral describes it as "partial 18S ribosomal RNA". It matches the Rfam family "Eukaryotic small subunit ribosomal RNA", at positions 1470 to 1796 of the family's 1831-position model. The record is from RNAcentral.
CCCUUAGAUGAUUUGGGCUGCACGCGCGCUACACUGACCCUAACAAUGAGCAACUGUCUGGCCUGAGAUGGCUGGGUAGCCUUUUCAACCCAUGUCAUGAUUGGGCUAGAUUUUUGUAAGUCUUGAUCUCUAACGAGGAAUCCCUAGUAUGCGUGAAUCAUCAAUCCAUGCAGAUUAUGUCCCUGCCCUUUGUACACACCGCCCGUCGCUCCUACCGAUUGAACGAUCCGAUGAAAACUGUGGAUUGAGAGUCUGAGUGGGUUCGCCUACCUCAACUUUCGAGAAGCGGUUUAAAUCUUAUCGUUUAGAGGAAGGAGAAGUCGUAACA